RNAcentral lists this ribosomal RNA (492 nucleotides) under uncultured bacterium. Its description in RNAcentral is "partial 16S ribosomal RNA". It matches the Rfam family "Bacterial small subunit ribosomal RNA", at positions 29 to 507 of the family's 1533-position model. The record is from RNAcentral.
AGUGAACGCUGGCGGUAGGCCUAACACAUGCAAGUCGAACGGCAGCACAGUAAGAGCUUGCUCUUACGGGUGGCGAGUGGCGGACGGGUGAGGAAUACAUCGGAAUCUACUUUUUCGUGGGGGAUAACGUAGGGAAACUUACGCUAAUACCGCAUACGACCUACGGGUGAAAGCAGGGGAUCUUCGGACCUUGCACGAUUGAAUGAGCCGAUGUCGGAUUAGCUAGUUGGCGGGGUAAAGGCCCACCAAGGCGACGAUCCGUAGCUGGUCUGAGAGGAUGAUCAGCCACACUGGAACUGAGACACGGUCCAGACUCCUACGGGAGGCAGCAGUGGGGAAUAUUGGACAAAGGGCGCAAGCCUGAUCCAGCCAUACCGCGUGGGUGAAGAAGGCCUUCGGGUUGUAAAGCCCUUUUGUUGGGAAAGAAAAGCAGCAGGUUAAUACCCCGCUGUUCUGACGGUACCCAAAGAAUAAGCACCGGCUAACUUCGUG